This 61-nucleotide non-coding RNA is filed under the name unclassified sequences. The record is from RNAcentral. RNAcentral also lists the same sequence under 1 other name.
GAAUGCGUGGAAGGAUUUGACUGCUUGCAACCACUAGAAAAAAAAUGCUAAAUACAGCACA